Molecule: long non-coding RNA, 555 nt
Organism: Bos taurus (domestic cattle)
Lineage: Eukaryota; Metazoa; Chordata; Mammalia; Artiodactyla; Bovidae
Source: Ensembl
GGAGGAGGAGAUUAUAUCUGAGGUUAGAGGCAGGAAAAGAGAGUCAGGAGGAGUUUGGUGGGGCCUUGCUGACUCAGGAGAAGAGCAGGAGUUUACUCCUGUAAAGUCCAACAACUCCUGGGACCGUUGGAAACACCCACCGCUUGAGCGGGUCCAGCAGCCCACCUAUCACCUACUUCCAGGAUGGCGGGGCUGUGUGUCUCGCCCUCCGAGUAGAGCCUCCCAUGACCAGCUGCCUGCACUGACCCCACUGGUGGUCUAGCUGGCGAAGUCCUUCUGCCUUGAAGCCUCGCUCAGUCCGUCCAAAGCAUCCAUGAGAAUGAAGAAGACCUUGUCAACAGUCACGACACAGGGUUCAAACCUGCACUCCCUGCAUUGGAAGGCGAAGUCUCAACCACUGGACCACCAGGGAAGUCCCACAGACGUUUGUUUUUAAUGCUGCAGAUACUGAAGCCUGAGUGUCCUAGAGACCGUGCUUCGCAACUAGAGGACCCACUGCAUUGAGAAGCCCUCACACUGCAGUUGGAAAGUGGUACUUGCUCCCCGCAUCUAGAG